AUACUUACCUGGCAGGAGAAAUACCAUGAUCACUAAGGUGGUUCUCCCAGGGCGAGGCUCAUCCAUUGCACUCCAGGUGUGCUGACCCCUGCGAUUUCCCCAAAUGCGGAAAACUCAACUGCAUAAUUUGGGGUAAACGUUAACAUUAUUCAAAGUUAUUGUC
Molecule: small nuclear RNA, 163 nt
Organism: Erpetoichthys calabaricus (reedfish)
Lineage: Eukaryota; Metazoa; Chordata; Cladistia; Polypteriformes; Polypteridae
Gene: U1
Rfam family: U1 spliceosomal RNA
About the family: U1 is a small nuclear RNA (snRNA) component of the spliceosome (involved in pre-mRNA splicing). Its 5' end forms complementary base pairs with the 5' splice junction, thus defining the 5' donor site of an intron.
Source: Ensembl